Molecule: long non-coding RNA, 857 nt
Filed under: Helianthus annuus (common sunflower)
Lineage: Eukaryota; Viridiplantae; Streptophyta; Magnoliopsida; Asterales; Asteraceae
Source: RNAcentral
AUAGGAGAUCUUGGCUUAUCAAAGGUGAAACAACACACGAUGGUACCUGGUGGCGUUCGUGGAACCUUGCCUUGGAUGGCACCCGAGCUUCUUAGCGGAAAAAGUCACAUGGUAACUGAAAAGAUGUAAGCAAGUUAGCUUCUCUUGCUAUUUGUUUAUUUGGUUUUGAAGAACCAUUGAAGGUCUGAGCCACUUGCACAUUUAAACGACUGAUGGUAUAUGCGAAAUUCAUGGUCAGCUUUAGGAACAUCGACUUUUGCACUGAAAUAAUUCAUACGGCUGAAUAAUACAAACUACUACAAUGGUUCCCCACAAUAUCAUUAGUGAUUCAGACAAGAUUAAACCAAAAACGCGUCAUAUUAAUCCAGCACAUACUUAUAUCUAUGAGAUUUGACCCGAAGCGAUUUGACGCCACCCAACCGGCCCUUACAACAUAUGUAAAGACUGGCAGUACCUCAUGGGUUAAUAAGGGCAGACCAAAAGCUAUUGGUAAGCUGCAAAUACCACUUAAGCAUUCAUCUAAACAACGAAAAAUGGGUACGAGAGCAAACGAACCAGAUGUAGCCGAUUACAUUCGUUGAAUCAUAUGUAAUAGCUUGCUGAGUUUAAUCAUUCUUUAUAAGUUAUCUCUAAGUUUUUUACUUCAAAGCUGAACAAUUUAUAUGUCAAGGAAAAAGCUAUUAUUAGGGAUGGACAAAUGGUAUCGGUUCGGAACCGGUACCGAAUUUUCAAACCCGACUCGAUUUUUGGUACCGACAUUUUGCGUUUUCGGUAUCGGUUCAGUUUCUUACCUUCAUAUACCGCUCCGCUCCGUACCGGUACCCAUUUUUUGGGAUUUUCGGUACCGGUUGGUACCG